Molecule: ribosomal RNA, 460 nt
Filed under: uncultured bacterium
Lineage: Bacteria
Description: partial 16S ribosomal RNA
Rfam family: Bacterial small subunit ribosomal RNA
Source: RNAcentral
CCUACGGGUGGCAGCAGUGAGGAAUAUUGGUCAAUGGGCGGAAGCCUGAACCAGCCAAGUAGCGUGCAGGAUGACGGCCCUACGGGUUGUACACCGCUUUUAUACGGGAAUAACGCGCCUUACGUGUAGGGCUUUGCAUGUACCGUCUGAAAAAGCACCGGCUAAUUCCGUGCCCGCAGCCGCGGUAAUACGGAAGGUCCGGGCGUUAUCCGGCUUUAUUGGGGUUAAAUGGAGGGUAGGCCGAAUGUCAAGCUUGCUGGGAAAUUGCCGGGCUUAACCCCGGCCUUGCAGUGCAACCUGGCGUGCUUGAGUCCGCGGAAAGCAGGCGGAAUGCGUGGUGUAGCGGUGAAAUGCUUAGAUAUGACGAAGAACCCCGAUUGCGAAGGCAGCAUGCUGCAGCGGAACUGACGCUGAUGCUCGAAAGCGCGGGUAUCGAACAGGAUUAGAUACCCGGGUAGUC